Molecule: ribosomal RNA, 525 nt
Filed under: uncultured bacterium
Lineage: Bacteria
Description: bacterial SSU rRNA
Rfam family: Bacterial small subunit ribosomal RNA
Source: RNAcentral
CCUACGGAGGCAGCAGUAAGGAAUAUUGGACAAUGGGCGCAAGCCUGAUCCAGCCAUGCCGCGUGCAGGAUGAAGGUGCUCUGCAUUGUAAACUGCUUUUGUUUGGGAAUAAACCCUUCUACGUGUAGAGGGCUGAAUGUACCAAAAGAAUAAGGGACGGCUAACUUCGUGCCAGCAGCCGCGGUAAUACGAAGGUCCCAAGCGUUAUCCGGAUUUAUUGGGUUUAAAGGGUGCGUAGGCGGGUUAUUAAGUCAGUGGUGAAAGCCUACAGCUUAACUGUAGAAUUGCCAUUGAUACUGAUGAUCUUGAGUAUGAUUGAGGUGGGCGGAAUGUGUCAUGUAGCGGUGAAAUGCUUAGAUAUGACACAGAACACCGAUUGCGAAGGCAGCUCACUAAGUCAUAACUGACGCUGAUGCACGAAGACGGUGGGGAGGACGAAACGAAGGAGUUAGUAUACCCGUACGGUACGUACCGACCGACCCGUAAACCGAACGUAGAUCUACUACGUAUGUGUGCGAGUACACU